GGGGCUGAUUCUGGAUUCGACGGGAUUUGCGAAACCCAAGGUGCAUGCCGAGGGGCGGUUGGCCUCGUAAAAAGCCGCAAAAAAAUAGUCGCAAACGACGAAACCUACGCUUUAGCAGCUUAAUAACCUGCUUAGAGCCCUCUCUCCCUAGCCUCCGCUCUUAGGACGGGGAUCAAGAGAGGUCAAACCCAAAAGAGAUCGCGUGGAUGCCCUGCCUGGGGUUGAAGCGUUAAAACGAAUCAGGCUAGUCUGGUAGUGGCGUGUCCGUCCGCAGGUGCCAGGCGAAUGUAAAGACUGACUAAGCAUGUAGUACCGAGGAUGUAGGAAUUUCGGACGCGGGUUCAACUCCCGCCAGCU
This 357-nucleotide transfer-messenger RNA is filed under the name Salmonella enterica. RNAcentral describes it as "partial transfer-messenger RNA". It matches the Rfam family "transfer-messenger RNA". From Rfam's summary of the family: Bacterial tmRNA, also known as 10Sa RNA or SsrA, is named for its dual tRNA and mRNA-like properties. Its role is to liberate the mRNA from a stalled ribosome. RNAcentral also lists the same sequence under 1 other name. Lineage: Bacteria; Pseudomonadati; Pseudomonadota; Gammaproteobacteria; Enterobacterales; Enterobacteriaceae. The record is from RNAcentral.